Molecule: long non-coding RNA, 610 nt
Filed under: Fukomys damarensis (Damara mole-rat)
Lineage: Eukaryota; Metazoa; Chordata; Mammalia; Rodentia; Bathyergidae
Description: lncRNA (ENSFDAG00000028256.1)
Source: RNAcentral
AAGGAAACAUCAGAAAGUUUUGAGUGAUUUUUUUUUUUUUUUUUUGCAAUCCAAGCGGAAGCUGACUUGCUAACACUUAGAAAUACAACGUCAAGAAUGCUGAGAAGUUUUAAAUUCCAGUCACUUUUUACUCUUUAAAGUUGAUGCAUCACCAAAGAUGCCUGGGAAUCUGCAUCUCCCCCAAGUUGGUUCAGACCAACCACAUUCAGAUAAGUCUGAUGAGGUGGUCUGAUUUCCCUGGGAUCUUCAAAAGUCAGUUCAAGCCAGGAAUACACUUCUGCAAGUUGCUCUGUGUCAGUGUCUGUGCACGGUCGAUGUCCCCACGCAGUCCCAGCCUACAGGAGGUAAGACUCCACUGAAAAGUGACUUGGGUUCCAAGUCUUCCCACUGGCUUUGCCAAAACCUUAUCAGAAAUGUGCUGCCUCCUGAUACUCUUCUACUCCACACCUUUUCCAUUCUCCUUUUCCAUGGAGUCUCAAGUAUCUUUGUGUUUUCUCCUGCUCUCCAGGGUCAGUCACCUUCUAUUACUAUAACACAUUUCUGAGAUAAAUUGACUUAUAAAGAGAAAAUUCAUCCUGGUCCACAAUUUUGGAGAUUCACAACUGGCCAG